Molecule: ribosomal RNA, 272 nt
Filed under: uncultured bacterium
Lineage: Bacteria
Description: partial 16S ribosomal RNA
Rfam family: Bacterial small subunit ribosomal RNA
Source: RNAcentral
CCCGCCGGCGACCGGCGCACGGGUGAGUAACACGUAUGCAACCUGGCCGCCACAGGGGGAUAACCCGCGGAAACGCGGCCUAAUACCCCGUGACGCCACCGGAGGUCAUCCUCCGGUGGCCAAAGGAGCGAUCCGGUGGCGGAUGGGCAUGCGGCGCAUUAGCUAGACGGCGGGGUGACGGCCCACCGUGGCGACGAUGCGUAGGGGUUCUGAGAGGAAGGCCCCCCACACUGGGACUGAGACACGGCCCAGACUCCUACGGGAGGCAGCAG